GAUAAACGCUGGCGGCGCACAUAAGACAUGCAAGUCGAACGGACUUAACCAUUAGUUUACUAUUGGAGCGGUUAGUGGCGGACUGGUGAGUAACACGUAAGCAACCUGCCUAUCAGAGGGGAACAACAGUUAGAAAUGACUGCUAAUACCGCAUAUGCCUAAGUACCACAUGGUACAAUAGGGAAAGGAGCAAUCCGCUGAUAGAUGGGCUUGCGUCUGAUUAGCUAGUUGGUGGGGUAAAGGCCUACCAAGGCGACGAUCAGUAGCCGGACUGAGAGGUUGAACGGCCACAUUGGGACUGAGAUACGGCCCAG
RNAcentral lists this ribosomal RNA (314 nucleotides) under uncultured bacterium. Its description in RNAcentral is "bacterial SSU rRNA". It matches the Rfam family "Bacterial small subunit ribosomal RNA", at positions 28 to 334 of the family's 1533-position model. The record is from RNAcentral.